Non-coding RNA from Cucurbita pepo subsp. pepo (vegetable marrow), 869 nucleotides. NCBI's taxonomy places the organism in Eukaryota, Viridiplantae, Streptophyta, Magnoliopsida, Cucurbitales, Cucurbitaceae. The record is from RefSeq and is a predicted model, not a curated record.
UAGGUAGAUGGGUAGAUUCAAACUUUCGUCAGUUCAAGCCUACCGCUAGUAGAUAUUGUCAUCUUUGGGCUUUCCCUUUUGGGUUUUCCUUCAAGGUUUUUAAAACGUGUCUACUAGGGGGAAGUUUCUAUACCCUUAUAAAGAAUGGUUCGUUCUUCUCCCCAAUCAAUAUAAGAUCUCAUACAAGAUCUUAGUUGAGUUAUGCUCGUGUUGGCAUUAUCUGAAAUUAUAUAUCUUCUGUUAUAAUACUUUUAAUUAUUCAUUCAACUGUUGUAGUAGUUCUAUGGUAGUCAUUUUCAGGUUCUUUAAAGUGGGUGAGUGGGAUGAUGUUGGUUGUAGCUUGUUUAUCUAAGUUCAACCACGUGUGUGGUUGGAGGAUUUUGAAGCUUUGAUUCCUUAAUUAAAGGUAUAUGCCAUUAAAUGAAGGGUAUAUACCUUAUAGGAGGCCUGAAUAGGUAAAACAAAGCAAAGUAUACUGUUGGGUUUACUUCAAUUAAUUCCAUCUUACCACCUUAUUAUUUCCCUCUCCUUUAUAUAUACAGAAGGAGCGGUAACAAAAAAGUUCAUUUUAUUAUCAAUACAUAAUCAUUGGAAUGAAUCUAACUCCAUUCACUUCUACAUUUCAGGUCCAUCCAUUAAUGAACAACAGAAGAACUCAUAUUGAAGGUGCAGCGCAGCUCCAUAAUGGAAGUGGCAUCGAAUCAAGUUUUACAUCGGGAUUAAUGGAUAUUUGAUGUGCAACGCAAUGACAAUAACCUCCAUUUAAUCCUCUCCUUUCUAUCGCUUGUUCCAUCCCGUCCCGUCCCGUCUUGCCUUCUUUUCUUCCGACGAAAAUAUAGAUAUAUAAUUGAGUUUUGAUGGUUGAACUA